This 75-nucleotide transfer RNA is filed under the name Desmophyllum pertusum. RNAcentral's name for it is "Lophelia pertusa tRNA". It matches the Rfam family "tRNA". From Rfam's summary of the family: Transfer RNA (tRNA) molecules are approximately 80 nucleotides in length. Their secondary structure includes four short double-helical elements and three loops (D, anti-codon, and T loops). Further hydrogen bonds mediate the characteristic L-shaped molecular structure. tRNAs have two regions of fundamental functional importance: the anti-codon, which is responsible for specific mRNA codon recognition, and the 3' end, to which the tRNAs corresponding amino acid is attached (by aminoacyl-tRNA synthetases). tRNAs cope with the degeneracy of the genetic code in two manners: having more than one tRNA (with a specific anti-codon) for a particular amino acid; and 'wobble' base-pairing, i.e. permitting non-standard base-pairing at the 3rd anti-codon position. The record is from Rfam by way of RNAcentral. Lineage: Eukaryota; Metazoa; Cnidaria; Anthozoa; Scleractinia; Caryophylliidae.
GGCUUCAUAGCUCAGUUGGUAGAACUUGACGCACUAGUAACGCGAAGGUCAUGGGUUCAAAACCCGUUGAAGCCA